AAAGAUCAUUGUAGCAGCAGAAUUCUGAUAAGAUGGAGGAAAGAAAAGCCAGAGUGAAGCAGACCAUUAGCAGAUAAUUGUCAUAAUCUUGAUACUAAAUGGAGACCAGAAUUAAGAUUUAGGAAGCUUCAGCCUGUAAAUGGCAGUUGAAGCCAUACUUAUUGCUGAAAUUGCAUACAGUCAGAACACUGAAUACAGAAACUUGAAGAACAACAUCAUUUCAGUCAGGAGUACCAAAAAGAGCUUUUAAGAAAACGGAAGCAGAAAAUGGCAUAGAAGAAGCUGAACCUAAAAUAUUCAGCUUUCAAAGAAUUGAAUGAAGCCCAUCCACACUGGGAAGGCAAUCUGCUUUGUUCAGUCUACUGAUUCAACUGUCAAUCUCAUCCAGAAACACCUUCCCAGAUGCACCAAGAAUGUUUAAGCAAAUAUCUGGGCACCUCGUGGUCCAGUCAAUUUGACAUAUAAAAUUAACCAUCCGAUGGUUCAACAUACAUGUACCUGUGAUGUUUAACCUACAAAUAAAGAUUGCUAAGAGGUCAAUAUUUCUG
Molecule: long non-coding RNA, 548 nt
Filed under: Homo sapiens (human)
Lineage: Eukaryota; Metazoa; Chordata; Mammalia; Primates; Hominidae
Description: HSALNT0345352
Source: RNAcentral